GUAGGGAAUAUUGGACAAUGGGGGCAACCCUGAUCCAGCGACGCCGCGUGAGUGAUGAAGGCCUUCGGGUCGUAAAGCUCUGUUGCAGGGGAAGAACACAAUGACGGUACCCUGCUAGAAAGGAUCGGCUAACUUCGUGCCAGCAGCCGCGGUAAGACGAGGGAUCCUAGCGUUGUUCGGAAUUAUUGGGCGUAAAGUGGGUGCAGGUGGCUUGGUAAGUCAGAUGUGAAAGCCUGGGGCUUAACCCCAGAAGUGCAUUUGAUACUGCUGAGCUUGAGUGCUGGAGAGGCUAUUAGAAUUCCUGGUGUAGUGGUGAAAUACGUAGAUAUCAGGAGGAAUACCGGAGGCGAAGGCGGAUAGCUGGCCAGACACUGACACUCAGACCCGAAAGCGUGGGGAGCAAACAGGAUUAGAAACCCCAGUAGUCC
RNAcentral lists this ribosomal RNA (428 nucleotides) under uncultured bacterium. RNAcentral describes it as "partial 16S ribosomal RNA". It matches the Rfam family "Bacterial small subunit ribosomal RNA", at positions 354 to 796 of the family's 1533-position model. The record is from RNAcentral.